UGAAUGGCUUGGUGUCUUCCCCAAGGGCGGCAGGAGAAAAAAUGAAUGCUGAGCAAAGAGGGAAGACCCUUAUGAAACCAUCAGAUCUCGUGGGAACUCACUUACCAUCAUGAGAACAGCAUGAAGGAAACCGCCCCAUGAUUCAAUUAUCUCCAACUUGUCUAGCCCUGGACACAUGGGGGUUAUUUCAAUUCAAGGUAAGAUUUAGCUGGAGACACAGAGCCAAACCCUACCAGUGCAUAAAAUUGGAAUAACAUUUUCUGUCCUUCUGGUCUCUCUUGCUUGUUGCCAUUGUCAAGUAAGGUAAUAGAUGGAAAAGCACUCUGAAAAUCACCAAAUGAAUGCAUUUCAUUGUUACUUAUUAGGAUAAUUUCUUGGGAUGGUUGUUACAAUUGUUAAAUUUUGUGGUUAUUCUGAUUAUUUUUGAAUAUUAAUCAACUUUAAUUCUUCAUUAUAAACUUCUCUAAAAAUGUUAUUUUUCAGAAGCAUUGUAUUGUAGGAUAGAACAGAGAUAUUCUUGCAAGCAAAGGAGACCAGUCCUGCUCAUUUUAGACAAAAUAGCAUUGAGUGUCCACAGGAUAAGUAGAAACCCAGAUGACAGGGUUUAGGGAAUAGACAAAUCCACGGAAGCAGGAAAAAUACACUAAGCAUCUGGAGUAGUUUGCCAUCACUUAUCACUGUUCCUGUGUUGAAUUACCUCUAACUAGGAGUAGGUAAUUUUCAAAAUAUAUAUCUCUUUGUAUAAUACAAACACUGAAUACUCUGAAUGGUCUGUAACUAAAAACCUAGUAGGGCCAUACUGGUGCAUGACUGCUGGAUAUUAAGUUUUGCCUCCAAUUAUUUCUCAUGCUUCUGCAUCUCUAGCUCAAGACCAAAGUUCUAUCCAAUAGCAGUGCAUUAGAUGAGCUUGGGUCACUUGUGGUUAAAUAAUGGGAAAAGGCUUAGCGAGUUUGUAGCCUGCAGCUUCUGUCAGAACAGAAAAGAUGCAAUCUCUGACCAAGACUGCACACAGAAGGUAUUUGGGCGGCUAAUAGUGAAGGGAUUUAAUUCUUAAUAGCUAAAAUAAAAAGUGUUCGCAGAAAAUGUGGUAUUUACUUCCUAUCUUGUUUUUCUCAUGUGUAUUUUGGUAAUUGAAUUACCUGUUAUUUCUCUAAAGUACAGAAUAGUAAUGCUGAGGUGACAGGUAUAUAUGCAAGACAUGGAAUUUUAGAUGUUGAUACUUAUUAGCAUUGAUUUAUUCAAUGUUAUUUCACUGAGCAAACAUUAAAAUUUAAUAAGACAAGGUACAGAAAUACAUGUGACAGAUAAUAUUUAGCAUGUCUGUUUCAGAGAUAGAAACAUCCUUUAAUUUAAGUAAAGAAAUGGAAUUCCACAGAGAGGCCUUGACACAUUUGUAAGUGUAGAUGACAUAUGUAGAAUUUUUGGUAGUAUUUUGCAUAUGUGGGUUUUUGAUAUACAAAGAAAAACUUCUUCCUUCCUAUAUUAAAGUGAUUUCUUUAUCUUGUUUCCAUGGUAAUAAUGAAUUGGUGUUAAUUGUCUGACUUCCCACCUACAAUGCAAUCUGGGCUAAUUCUGCCAGGUUCCAGCUGAGUCUCCAAAGACGAGGACAGGCUCCUAAGUGGCCCAGACUGAGCCUCACUACUCAAGCCAUCAGGGAAGCUGGCAAUUGCAUGGUGACUCAACCUUAAGCCAAGAUCAAAACCUAAAUACAAAACACAAUGCAGAAUGCACAAAUAGCUAUUUCACAAGCUGUAGGUGAGAACUAAGAGUUAACAACAGAAUAGAAGAGGAAUUUAAAAGAAGCAGGAGAGGAACAGAAUGAGUCCUGGAAGUUUACCUGUAAUGUCAACAGUUCACCUUUAGGGGCCAGGAAAUCAAUCAUGUCUAGGCCUGUUGGCUAUUUCUAAAGGUCGGAAUCUGGGAAAAUGGAUCUGUUUGCAUUAUCUUACUAUUUCAGUUUACAGGCCUGCUUUCAGUAAUGAGGGGUCAGGGCCAGAGUCCAAAGAGAGGCUCUCAUAUACAAGAUGUCUAAAUACGUAUUUAAAAGCUAUGUGUAAAACUAUCCAACUGUCAAAUAAAACAUGUUCUAUCAAACUCAUUGAACAAUAUACCUUCAUAAUAAAAAAAUGAAAAAAUAUAUGUAAAGCUAUGGUUUCUUAGGAUAAAAAGUAG
This 2172-nucleotide long non-coding RNA is filed under the name Homo sapiens (human). RNAcentral describes it as "HSALNT0139188". The record is from RNAcentral. Lineage: Eukaryota; Metazoa; Chordata; Mammalia; Primates; Hominidae.